This 495-nucleotide ribosomal RNA is filed under the name uncultured bacterium. RNAcentral describes it as "partial 16S ribosomal RNA". It matches the Rfam family "Bacterial small subunit ribosomal RNA", at positions 28 to 507 of the family's 1533-position model. The record is from RNAcentral.
GACGAACGCUGGCGGCGUGCCUAAUACAUGCAAGUAGGACGCUGAAGGAGGAGCUUGCUUCUCUGGUUGAGUUGCGAACGGGUGAGUAACGCGUAGGUAACCUGCCUGGUAGCGGGGGAUAACUAUUGGAAACGAUAGCUAAUACCGCAUAAUAGCAGUUGUUGCAUGAAAACAGUUUGAAAGGUGCAAUUGCACCACUACCAGAUGGACCUGCGGUGUAUUUGCGAGGUGGGGGGGUAACGGCCCACCAAGGUCACUAUACAUAGCCGACCUGAGAGGGGGCUCAACCACACUGGGACUAGGCCACGGCCCAAGCUCCUACGGGACGCAGCCGUACGGCAUCUUCGGCAAUGGACGGAAGUCUUACCGAGCACCGCCGCGUGGGAGAAGAAGGAUCUCGGAUCGUAAAGCUCUGUUGUCAGAGAAGAACGAGUGUAAGCGUGGAACGUUCACUUUGUGACGGUAUCUUACCAGAACGCAACGGCUAACUACGUG